This 242-nucleotide ribosomal RNA is filed under the name uncultured bacterium. RNAcentral's name for it is "partial 16S ribosomal RNA". It matches the Rfam family "Bacterial small subunit ribosomal RNA", at positions 92 to 334 of the family's 1533-position model. The record is from RNAcentral.
UGAGUGGCGGACGGGUGAGUAACGCGUGGGUAACCUGCCUCAUACAGGGGGAUAACAGUUAGAAAUGACUGCUAAUACCGCAUAAGACCACAGUACCGCAUGGUACAGGGGUAAAAACUCCGGUGGUAUGAGAUGGACCCGCGUCUGAUUAGGUAGUUGGUGGGGUAACGGCCUACCAAGCCGACGAUCAGUAGCCGGACUGAGAGGUUGAACGGCCACAUUGGGACUGAGACACGGCCCAG